AGAUUGAACGCUGGCGGCAUGCCUUACACAUGCAAGUCGAACGGCAGCACGGGAGCAAUCCUGGUGGCGAGUGGCGAACGGGUGAGUAAUAUAUCGGAACGUGCCCAGUCGUGGGGGAUAACGCAGUGAAGCUGUGCUAAUACCGCAUACGAUCUAUGGAUAGAAAGGCGGGGACUCGCAAGAGCCUCGCGCGAGUUGGAGGCGGCCGAUAUCAGAUUAGCGUUAGGUUGGGUAGGGGUAAAACGCCCGAACCGAAGGACGACGUAUCUGUACGCUGGUCUGGAGACGGACCGAACCAGCCACACGUGGAACCUAGACGACC
RNAcentral lists this ribosomal RNA (322 nucleotides) under uncultured soil bacterium. RNAcentral describes it as "bacterial SSU rRNA". It matches the Rfam family "Bacterial small subunit ribosomal RNA", at positions 26 to 337 of the family's 1533-position model. The record is from RNAcentral.